CUCUCUCUCUUCCUCCUGCUCUGGCAUGUAAGACGUGCCCGUGUCCCCUUCCUCCACCACAAGAUUGUAAGUUUUCUGGAGCCUCCCCAGAAGCUGAGAAGAAGCUGCUAUGCUUCCUGUUCAGCCUGCAGAACCGCCACUUCCAGCAUCGAUGGUGUCAGGUCAGGUCCUCUGGGUAGAAGAAAUGGAGUCAGUUAGGAGUGCUGGAGACUGAGUAAGAGGUGGCAGCUGAGGCUUACUACCCCAGGAAAGGGAUGCCACCAGAGAAGGCAGACAACCAAGAUGGCGACUCUCAAUUUUUGAGCUCCUAAUUUUCUCAUGUCAGACAUAAGAAAAAAAAAUAUUUUUUAAAGAAAAAGCUUUAGGUUGCAAAAAUCUAGGCCUUUCAACUUUAAAAUCCUAUUCUUGCAAGCCUUGGAGAAUAAAGCUUAUGCAUAAACAGUAGAUUUGGAAACAGAAAUAUGCCUAAUUACCCAGAGCCAUUCUUUCAAUACGCCAGUGAUUGUUUAAAGAUUCUAUAGGCUGGAGUCAAUGGCAGGAGGCGGGUGGGAAAAGAGUCAAGAGGGAGGAGAGAAGAAGCAAGAGGGUUGGGUAGAUAUUGUCACAUGACCCUGAGAGGAGGAUUCUGGGUCAAACCCCUAGGGGGUUGUGUGUAAUGGAGACUCCAGAUCCAUUUGGGAAUCUGGCUCCAAAGAAGACUUCACCUUGCCUUCUGAGUGGAGCCCUGAAGUGGCAAGACUCAUAGAAUUCCCCCACGGGUCCACACAAGAGAGAAUGAAUAGAGAAGGCUGCGUGCUGGCUGGACCAAGGCAGCCUCGGGUGACACCACCACCACCACCGCCGCUGCCGCCAUCGCCAUCACCACUGCCGCUGCCAUCACCGCCACCACCACCACCAUCACCACCACCAUCACCACAUUAUGGACAAUAGCCCAAUGUUUCCUGAGUUCCCUAGAGGGUUGAAAGAGAAUAGGACCUAGAGAGAUCACAUAGUUGGGACAGGCACUCAUUAAUUUGAUCCAAUGACAAGAGACCAGAUGGGAAGAAGGAUGCCUUGAGAGAUGUCAGUGUGCACCCAUGGAUAGAAGCAGCUGGUGACUGGGUACUUGGGAAGCCACAUGGACACACACAAAGCUCCUGGAAGACGUUUUCAAGGAGUUGGGCUGUGCUGGGAUCCAGAACUGGCUGAAGAAACCAUGAGCUGACAUAAAAUUUCUGCCACCUAGCAGAAUGGAGG
Molecule: long non-coding RNA, 1236 nt
Filed under: Homo sapiens (human)
Lineage: Eukaryota; Metazoa; Chordata; Mammalia; Primates; Hominidae
Description: HSALNT0300529
Source: RNAcentral